RNAcentral lists this ribosomal RNA (301 nucleotides) under uncultured bacterium. RNAcentral describes it as "partial 16S ribosomal RNA". It matches the Rfam family "Bacterial small subunit ribosomal RNA", at positions 509 to 809 of the family's 1533-position model. The record is from RNAcentral.
CAGCCGCCGCGGUAAUACGUAGGGUGCGAGCGUUAAUCGGAAUUACUGGGCGUAAAGCGUGCGCAGGCGGUUGUGUAAGACAGGCGUGAAAUCCCCGGGCUCAACCUGGGAAUGGCGCUUGUGACUGCAAAGCUAGAGUGCGGCAGAGGGGGAUGGAAUUCCGCGUGUAGCAGUGAAAUGCGUAGAUAUGCGGAGGAACACCGAUGGCGAAGGCAAUCCCCUGGGCCUGCACUGACGCUCAUGCACGAAAGCGUGGGGAGCAAACAGGAUUAGAUACCCCUGUAGUCCCUGUCUCUUAUAA